Molecule: ribosomal RNA, 374 nt
Filed under: Listeria monocytogenes
Lineage: Bacteria; Bacillati; Bacillota; Bacilli; Caryophanales; Listeriaceae
Description: partial 23S ribosomal RNA
Rfam family: Bacterial large subunit ribosomal RNA
Source: RNAcentral
GACUGCUGGAGCGCUUAGAAGUGAGAAUGCCGGUAUGAGUAGCGAAAGACAGGUGAGAAUCCUGUCCACCGAAUGACUAAGGUUUCCUGGGGAAGGCUCGUCCGCCCAGGGUUAGUCGGGACCUAAGCCGAGGCCGACAGGCGUAGGCGAUGGACAACAGGUUGAUAUUCCUGUACCCGUUGUUUUUGUUUGAGCAAUGGAGGGACGCAGGAGGCUAAGAAGUGCAGACUGAUGGAUAUGUCUGUUCAAGCAGUAAGUCUUGGUAGGAGUCAAAUGCUUCUACCUAUACGGACAAGCUGUGAUGAGGAGGGAAAUAAUAGUACCGAAGCUUCUGAUGUCACACUGCCAAGAAAAGCUUCUAGUGAGAAAACAAC